AAGUCGUAACAAGGUUUCCGUAGGUGAACCUGCGGAAGGAUCAUUGCAAAUAAAGCUGGUAGGAAGUGGGGUCUUGAUCUGUAAGUGGUAGAGCGAACAGUCCGGCUGCCUCCCGAAAUGUCUUACAUGUCCCCCACAGCCUGAAGGCCGAAUUACAACCCUUGAUUAUCUACACUUGUUGCUUUGGUAGUGCUUGCAAGUGCCCAGAAGGACCCCAACUGCUCCUUCUGCAUUUAGUGACGUCUGAGUACUAUAUAAUAUUUAAAA
This 267-nucleotide unclassified non-coding RNA is filed under the name plant metagenome. RNAcentral's name for it is "partial contains small subunit ribosomal RNA and internal transcribed spacer 1". The stretch from base 1 to 46 matches the Rfam family "Eukaryotic small subunit ribosomal RNA", at positions 1786 to 1831 of the family's 1831-position model. The record is from RNAcentral.